This 253-nucleotide ribosomal RNA is filed under the name uncultured bacterium. Its description in RNAcentral is "partial 16S ribosomal RNA". It matches the Rfam family "Bacterial small subunit ribosomal RNA", at positions 524 to 776 of the family's 1533-position model. The record is from RNAcentral.
UACGGGGGGGGCAAGCGUUGUUCGGAAUUACUGGGCGUAAAGGGCUCGUAGGCGGCCAACUAAGUCAGACGUGAAAUCCCUAGGCUCAACCUAGGAACUGCGUCUGAUACUGGAUGGCUUGAAUCCGGGAGAGGGAUGCAGAAUUCCAGGUGUAGCGGUGAAAUGCGUAGAUAUCUGGAGGAAUACCGGUGGCGAAGGCGGCAUCCUGGACCGGCAUUGACGCUGAGGGGCGAAAGCCAGGGGAGCAAACGGG